GGUGGGGGAGGGGUGGUAGACAGGCCACACUGGGCACCGAGAUUUAGAAGACUAGCUACAGGUGUUCUUGGUUCUUGUAGUAACCAUCUGGGGUGGCUUCUUGCAGGAGCUGGAAUUUCCAGAGUUUGGAUAUAGGGUUUCCAGAGUUAUCCCUACAGUGAGGGGGGCUAGUUUGGAGGGAACAUGGUUAGUUUUGUUCAACAGGCAAUAGAGAAGCUCAUCUUUUUUUUUUUUUUUUUUUUUUUUUGUUCAGCCGGCUACUAGCAGUCACUACUGGAAAGGUGAAGAAAAUGAGGGCUAUCGUCCAAGGAACAUUGCAGCGUCCCAAGGGAGGCACUUACCAAUGAUUAGCAAGCUAGAAAAGCCCACUGUCCCGCUCAACUUGAUGGAGCGAGGGAGUGCCUUGAGGGUAAAGAACAAGGCGGGAUCAUUUCAGGCUAGGGUAGCCUUUGGAGAGGAAUGGUUGAAAGGGCCUUCGGUAGAUGAGUGGUCACUACCUCAGGGCUGGAGAGGACUAUGGUCCCGCCGCCUCCCACCCCCCUGCAAAGGGAAGAUAACGAUUAACGCGCGCGCCCGCACUCCUAACGACCCAGGCUCCAAGGGAGCCACCAGAUCUGCGUCCCCCCAGGGCGCCGCACCGAAAAGGAGAACAGACCGUCCUUCAAGGCCAACCCCACUCCCCGGCUCCCACACCCCCGCCUUCAGCACCGGAGAGUGGCGACGGAUUUAUAACCCACCUCUUUCUCCCAGUUGCCAUGGAGACCAGCCCCAAGUCCUUUCAUUCCUUCUGGUACCCGGAACAUUUCUCCGACGCAGGCGGAACGGCGCGGGGCUCGGCGCUGACGCGCCCGUGGCCGCGCUGGGGGACAGAGCGGUGGUAAAAAAAAAUGUAGCGCGGAGGGGCUGGCGGUCUCGACGGCAACGGCGGCACCGAGGCGACGGACAAAGGCUAAGGUCAGCCGCGGUUCAAGCCUCCCUCCCCGCCAACGGCCAGACGCCGGGGGGCACAGCGCUGGGCGGGAGGAGGGUGCGGGCCGCGAGAGCCCCGCCGCGGCGGGGGGGGGGGGGGGCGGGGGCCGCGGAGGCCCGGGCGCGCACCUGUCCGUCCACCUGCGCGGGCGGGCGCGCCGGCCCCUCCACCCACCUUGGGCGGCGCCGCCAUCACGCUCCCCUCGGCAACACCGCCUCUCAGCGGCCGAGCGCGGAUCCCCUCCC
This 1215-nucleotide long non-coding RNA is filed under the name Canis lupus dingo (dingo). RNAcentral describes it as "lncRNA (ENSCAFG00020001718.1)". Lineage: Eukaryota; Metazoa; Chordata; Mammalia; Carnivora; Canidae. The record is from RNAcentral.